CAGGAUGAACGCUAGCGGCAGGCUAACACAUGCAAGUCGAGGGGCAUCGGGAGUAGCAAUACUGCCGGCGACCGGCGCAAGGGUGCGUAACGCGUGAGCAACAUGCCCGUAUCAGGGGGAUAAUCCAUGGAAACGUGGUCUAAUACCCCAUAGUAAUUAUGUAAGGCAUCUUAUAUAAUUUAAAGCUUUGGUGGAUACGGAUUGGCUCGCGUGACAUUAGCUAGAUGGUAAGGUAACGGCUUACCAUGGCUACGAUGUCUAGGGGUUCUGAGAGGAAGGUCCCCCACACUGGAACUGAGACACGGUCCAGACUCCUACGGGAGGCAGCAGUGAGGAAUAUUGGACAAUGGAUGGAAAUCUGAUCCAGCCAUGCCGCGUGCAAGGAAGACGGCCCUAUGGGUUGUAAACUGCUUUUGUAUGGGAGCAAUAAGGGCUACGCGUAGUCCGAUGAGAGUACCAUACGAAUAGGCACCGGCUAACUCCGUGCCAGCCGCGGC
Molecule: ribosomal RNA, 497 nt
Filed under: uncultured bacterium
Lineage: Bacteria
Description: bacterial SSU rRNA
Rfam family: Bacterial small subunit ribosomal RNA
Source: RNAcentral